GACGAACGCUGGCGGCGUGCCUAAUACAUGCAAGUUGAGCGCUGAAGGUUGGUACUUGUACCAACUGGAUGAGCAGCGAACGGGUGAGUAACGCGUGGGGAAUCUGCCUUUGAGCGGGGGACAACAUUUGGAAACGAAUGCUAAUACCGCAUAAAAACUUUAAACACAAGUUUUAAGUUUGAAAGAUGCAAUUGCAUCACUCAAAGAUGAUCCCGCGUUGUAUUAGCUAGUUGGUGAGGUAAAGGCUCACCAAGGCGAUGAUACAUAGCCGACCUGAGAGGGUGAUCGGCCACAUUGGGACUGAGACACGGCCCAAACUCCUACGGGGGGCAGCAGUAGGGAAUCUUCGGCAAUGGACGAAAGUCUGCCCGAGCAACGCCGCGUGGGUGAAGAAGUUUUUCGGAUCUUAAAACUUUGUUGGUAGGGAAGAACGUUGGUGAGGGUGGAAAGCCCCACAAGUGACGGUAACUACCCAAAAAGGGCCGGCUAACUACGU
RNAcentral lists this ribosomal RNA (496 nucleotides) under uncultured bacterium. RNAcentral describes it as "partial 16S ribosomal RNA". It matches the Rfam family "Bacterial small subunit ribosomal RNA", at positions 28 to 506 of the family's 1533-position model. The record is from RNAcentral.